Molecule: ribosomal RNA, 157 nt
Filed under: fungal endophyte sp. AP504
Lineage: Eukaryota; Fungi
Description: 5.8S ribosomal RNA
Rfam family: 5.8S ribosomal RNA
About the family: 5.8S ribosomal RNA (5.8S rRNA) is a component of the large subunit of the eukaryotic ribosome. It is transcribed by RNA polymerase I as part of the 45S precursor that also contains 18S and 28S rRNA.
Source: RNAcentral
AAACUUUCAACAACGGAUCUCUUGGUUCUGGCAUCGAUGAAGAACGCAGCGAAAUGCGAUAAGUAAUGUGAAUUGCAGAAUUCAGUGAAUCAUCGAAUCUUUGCACGCACAUUGCGCCCCGUGGUAUUCCGCGGGACAUGCCUGUUCGAGCGUCAUU